Long non-coding RNA from Etheostoma cragini (Arkansas darter), 157 nucleotides. RefSeq lists it as uncharacterized. The transcript is spliced from 3 exons. Lineage: Eukaryota; Metazoa; Chordata; Actinopteri; Perciformes; Percidae. The record is from RefSeq and is a predicted model, not a curated record.
GUGUCUCUCUGUAUCUCUCAGGGCGGAGACGACUCUGGGAAACAUCCUGAAGAAGAAAGGAUGGAGGCGGUCCAGUUAUGUUGUGACAACGAAGAUCUACUGGGGUGGACAGGCGGAGACAGAGCGAGGGUUGUCACGGAAACACAUCAUCGAAGGU